RNAcentral lists this ribosomal RNA (253 nucleotides) under uncultured bacterium. Its description in RNAcentral is "partial 16S ribosomal RNA". It matches the Rfam family "Bacterial small subunit ribosomal RNA", at positions 524 to 776 of the family's 1533-position model. The record is from RNAcentral.
UACGGGGGGGGCAAGCGUUGUUCGGAAUCAUUGGGCGUAAAGGGCGCGUAGGCGGCCUGCCAAGUCGGGUGUGAAAUCCCUCGGCUCAACCGAGGAACUGCACUCGAUACUGGCUGGCUAGAGUCCGGGAGGGGAUGGUGGAAUUCCCAGUGUAGCGGUGAAAUGCGUAGAUAUUGGGAAGAACACCGGUGGCGAAGGCGGCCAUCUGGACCGGAACUGACGCUGAGGCGCGAAAGCCAGGGGAGCGAAUGGG